GCCUUGUGCAACAAAACAAAAUAAAUUCCACUCUCUCCAAUGACUUCUCGAGUAAAAGUCUCCGACGAGCCACUGAGUCCCUCCGGCCGGCUAUUUCUCCGGCCAGAGAUGGACACCAUAAUCCACUGUGCACUCGGCGUUGAAUACGCCAUGGACGUGGAAGCUGUAAAAACCACCAUAAGGAACUCUCUCAUGUUGAAGCACCCAAGAUUUUGCAGUCUCCUUGUACACGACAAGAAUGGAUUGGAACACUGGAGAAGAACAGAGGUCGACCUCGACAAACACAUCUUAGUUGUUGAAAACCCCGCCGAAGCC
RNAcentral lists this unclassified non-coding RNA (315 nucleotides) under Hevea brasiliensis (rubber tree). The record is from RNAcentral. Lineage: Eukaryota; Viridiplantae; Streptophyta; Magnoliopsida; Malpighiales; Euphorbiaceae.